CCCACCCUCCCCCGAUCUGCCACCGGCCGGGAUAGAGAGCGAACUUCUUGCCCUAAUCCUUCACAGGGUGGGGACUGGGAGGCCAAAACCCACCCCAAACCUGCCUCAUUGCCAUUCUUAAUUAAUUAGUAUUAAAAUUAUUAUUUUAAGUAAACAAAUUAUUAUCUCCUAAAAACAUUUGUUUUUAUGUCCGUAAGAGGAAAUGUAAUUAAUUUUAGUGUGGAACUAAUAAUUUAAGCUCUAUGUUAUUUUAUAUGCAUGUACUCAUUUAUACGUGCAUAUGAAAUCUCUACUUUAGAUUAUUCAUUAAAGGUAUUCAUAAUAGCUCAUUUCACAUUUGUGCUACUUUUACUCUUACUUUUUGCUGUCACUUUGUUCUAAAGUAUAGAAUUGUCAUGCAUCUUUUAUUAAGUCGAGAGAAUAAUUCAUUCUUGUUAUAUAUUUAUUUUUCUUAGGCAGGUUGAGAUAAACAAUUAAAACUCAUUUUCAUUAAUUGAUAGGGCCAUUUGAAUAAGAGCAAUGUGAAAAUGCAAAUUAAAAAUGCAAACUAAUAUCAUGCUAGUAAUAAAUAGUAAGGAAUAAAAUAAAUGGCCUAGCUUAAUUUGCGCCUCAAAUUUCUCUUUUUGUCAGUAGCUUAAAGCAACCACCCCCAAUAACUCAUAACCAAAAACACCAUAUUUAUAGAAUGUGGAAAUAUAUUUUAGUCACCUUGAUCCAGCGUAUAUCAACUAUGGCAUCCUGAUAAGCCUUUCAAACACCAAUUCUUGCUUUGUCUGCAACAUCUCCAGCAAAAUUAACCAGUAUCAAACAAGCUCAUCAAACAAGUAUAAGCAACUAUUUCAAGUCUAAAAUGCAGGUCAUUAUACUUUGUUAACAAAUUAUAUAGAAAUUUCUCAUGCCAAUUCUUGCAUCCACCACCAUUCCUAAUCAAUCUACUCAUCAUCCUCAUCCUCAUCCUCCUUGAAAGGCUCAUUGUCUUUUCUAAAGCUGAUGCCUGGGACAUACUUCAACCAAACAGGGAAACCUCCAAAAUUCCAGUCAGCACGAACAUAAGGUCCAAUGCGAAGAUGAGCAUAUAGGCUUGAUUUCUGGAUUAACUUUAUGAACCUCAGAACAUCAUAUCUCCCUUCAAAAUUGUAGUACAUCCCAUAUGACAAGCACAAUUGACAAGAAAUUAAACAAGACUAAAUAAAACCCCCAAAAAAAAAAAAAUAGAGAGAGUAAAUCGAAGUACAUUUCCAGGUGUAGGCUCAUGCACAUUCCAGAAAACAUAGGUCUCAACAACAUCUAGUCCUCCAUCUUUGGCCUUCUAUAUCAUAUCUUCCCGCAUCCACUUGCUUCAUUUUAGCAUCAUUUGAAAAAAUUUACCAGAUCCGUAGAGCUGCUUCAUCAAGAAUCAUUGCUAGCGAGGCAAGAAAGAGAAUAAGAACUUCAAUCGGGCAUUGAUGCCUGAUUCUUAUGAUAACCACCUCAAAUAGUAACUACGAAAAAACUCAAAUAAGUUUGCUUGAACACUGGUGCUAGUGAACAAAGACUAGCACAAUUCUUCUUCUAGGGAAAAAAAAAAAAAAA
Molecule: unclassified non-coding RNA, 1572 nt
Filed under: Hevea brasiliensis (rubber tree)
Lineage: Eukaryota; Viridiplantae; Streptophyta; Magnoliopsida; Malpighiales; Euphorbiaceae
Source: RNAcentral